Molecule: long non-coding RNA, 182 nt
Organism: Perognathus longimembris pacificus (Pacific pocket mouse)
Lineage: Eukaryota; Metazoa; Chordata; Mammalia; Rodentia; Heteromyidae
Exons: 3
Source: RefSeq, a predicted model, not a curated record
UUUGCCAGUUAAGUGGAGAUAAAGAGUCUCAUGGAGCAGGGUGCAGGCAGCUCACGCCUGUUACCCCAGCUGCUCAGGAGGAUGAGAUCUGGGGACCACUGUUCAGAGCCAGCUUGAGCAGGAAACGUCCAUGACACUCUUAUUUCUAAUUAGCCAGCAAAAAGCUGGAAGUGGAGCUGGGG